RNAcentral lists this ribosomal RNA (1950 nucleotides) under human metagenome. RNAcentral's name for it is "bacterial LSU rRNA". It matches the Rfam family "Bacterial large subunit ribosomal RNA", at positions 817 to 2636 of the family's 2925-position model. The record is from RNAcentral.
AGGGGUGAAAGGCCAAUCAAACUCCGUGAUAGCUGGUUCUCCCCGAAAUGCAUUUAGGUGCAGCGUCGCAUUUAGCUUGGUGGAGGUAGAGCGACUGGUUGGUUGAGCGGGACUACAAUCUUAGCAAUGUCAGCCAAACUCCGAAUGCCAUCAAUUGUGUUGUGCGGCAGUGAGACUGUGGGGGAUAAGCUUCAUAGUCGAGAGGGAAACAGCCCAGAUCGCCGGUUAAGGCCCCUAAGGGUGUACUAAGUGGAAAAGGAUGUGGGAUCGCGAAGACAGCCAGGAGGUUGGCUUAGAAGCAGCCAUCCUUGAAAGAGUGCGUAAUAGCUCACUGGUCGAGUGGUUCUGCGCCGACAAUGUAGUGGGGCUCAAGUACACCGCCGAAGCCGCGGCAAGCAACAUUGGUUUGUUGUUUGGGUAGGGGAGCGUCGUGCAUGGGUGGAAGCGUUAUCGUGAGGAGGCGUGGACUGUGUGCGAGUGAGAAUGCAGGCAUGAGUAACGAAUUGUAAGGUGAGAAUCCUUACCGCCGGAUGACUAAGGGUUCCUGGGUCAAGUUCGUCUUCCCAGGGUGAGUCGGGACCUAAGGCGAGGCCGACAGGCGUAGUCGAUGGAUAACCAGUUGAUAUUCUGGUACCCGUACAUGUGCGCCCAUGAUAAAGCACGGAUACUAACCACUGCGGAUACGCUACCUUUUCACUUUUUUGAGUGUUGGUGGUGUUGAUGUCGUGGGGCCUGAUGUGUGGUUCAAGUGAUGGGGUGACGCAGUGAGGUAGCCGCGCCACUUAUUGGAUUGGUGGUGUAAGCGUGUAGGCCGUGUGGUAGGUAAAUCCGCUACACAUAGAGGUUGAGGCGUGAUGCGUAGACCCUAAGCGGGUUGAUGGUGGUGAUCCUGUACUGUCGAGAAAAGCCUCUAGCGAGUGUGUGUAUGGCCCGUACCCUAAACCGACACAGGUGGUCAGGUUGAAGAUACUAAGGCGUUCGGGUGAACUGUGGUUAAGGAAUUCGGCAAAAUGCCCCCGUAACUUCGGGAGAAGGGGGGCCCUGUGAUGUGAAGACCCUGUGCGGUUGGAGUGUUGUGGGGUCGCAGAGAAUAGAGGGAAGCGACUGUUUAUCAAAAACACAGGUCCAUGCGAAGACGUUAAGUUGAUGUAUAUGGACUGACGCCUGCCCGGUGCUGGAAGGUUAAGAGGACCGGUUAGUAACCUUUGUGGUUGCGAAGCUGAGAAUUUAAGCCCCAGUAAACGGCGGUGGUAACUAUAACCAUCCUAAGGUAGCGAAAUUCCUUGUCGGGUAAGUUCCGACCUGCACGAAUGGCGUAACGACUUCUCUGCUGUCUCGACCACAGGCCCGGUGAAAUUGCAUUACGAGUAAAGAUGCUCGUUACGCGCGGCAGGACGAAAAGACCCCGGGACCUUCACUAUAGCUUGGUAUUGGUGUUUGGUUCGGUUUGUGUAGGAUAGGUGGGAGACUGUGAAACCGUCACGCUAGUGGUGGUGGAGUCGUUGUUGAAAUACCACUCUGAUCGGAUUGAGCAUCUAACCUUGGCCCAUGAUCUGGGUUGGGGACAGUGCCUGGUGGGUAGUUUAACUGGGGCGGUUGCCUCCCAAAAUGUAACGGAGGCGCCCAAAGGUUCCCUCAGCCUGGUUGGCAAUCAGGUGGUGAGUGUAAGUGCACAAGGGAGCUUGACUGUGAGACAGACAUGUCGAGCAGGGACGAAAGUCGGGACUAGUGAUCCGGCACCUACUUGUGGAUGUGGUGUCGCUCAACGGAUAAAAGGUACCCCGGGGAUAACAGGCUGAUCUUCCCCAAGAGUCCAUAUCGACGGGAUGGUUUGGCACCUCGAUGUCGGCUCGUCGCAUCCUGGGGCUGGAGUAGGUCCCAAGGGUUGGGCUGUUCGCCCAUUAAAGCGGCACGCGAGCUGGGUUCAGAACGUCGUGAGACAGUUCGGUC